AGCCUAGGCUUGGUCUGACUGAAUUGCUCAUCUCUCCCUUUUCCAUUUUUUUUUUUUUUUUCCCUCCAGGUCACGCUGCCAGUGCUGCUUCUCAGGCAAGUUCCCAGCCGGACUACACGAUGGCUUGGGCAGAGUAUUACAGACAGCAGGCUGCCUACUACGGGCAGACACUAGGACAGGCUCAGGCCCACAGCCAGGAGCAGUAGAACAAGGUCCUCGUGGCAAUUUUAUUUUUUUUUUCCCUUGGAAUCAUUGUGGAAGAAAACCUUUUUGUAACAGAGGUUUCUAGAUUUGCAACGUUUUGAUGAAGACUUUUCUGUUUGUUUGUGAAACACUAGCUGUAGGAUAAUCUAUACUGAACUUUUCUAAGAAUCAGGAACAAUUAGUAACGUACUAAACUUACGGACACGCUGGUAAUUUUAUUUCCAAAUUUGUAAAAAA
Apaloderma vittatum (bar-tailed trogon) is the source of this 441-nucleotide long non-coding RNA. RefSeq lists it as uncharacterized. The record is from RefSeq and is a predicted model, not a curated record. Lineage: Eukaryota; Metazoa; Chordata; Aves; Trogoniformes; Trogonidae. The transcript is spliced from 2 exons.